AACCAGCACCUCAAGUGGUCAGGAUGAUUAUUGGGCCUAAAGCAUCCGUAGCCUGCUCUGUUAGUUUUCGGUUAAAUCCAUGUGCUCAACACAUAGGCUGCCGAAAAUACUGCAGAGCUAGGGAGUGGGAGAGGUAGACGGUACUCAGUAGGAAGGGGUAAAAUCCUUUGAUCUAUUGAUGACCACCUGUGGCGAAGGCGGUCUACCAGAACACGUUCGACGGUGAGGGAUGAAAGCUGGGGGAGCAAACCGG
This 253-nucleotide ribosomal RNA is filed under the name uncultured archaeon. Its description in RNAcentral is "partial 16S ribosomal RNA". It matches the Rfam family "Archaeal small subunit ribosomal RNA", at positions 474 to 727 of the family's 1478-position model. The record is from RNAcentral.